CAACAGCCUCCCGAUGGUGGUGACAUCAGCCGCCCAGCUGAAGCCCUGCUGUGAUUCCCUUUGGUCUCAGAAGAAGAAUAAAGUUGUCACAGUCUCCAGGACAGUUGUUGAAGAAAGUAAAGAGUAAAAUUCUUAGGCUGAAACAAAGUUUCAGCUUCUGCAGAAGUUUACAUUGUAUUGGGGGAAGAAAGAGGAAUCACCAUGGUCCACUGGUUUCCCGAACGCACAGCAGCUGUGUGUGUGCACAGGCAGAUGAUCAUCACAAACGUGGGCCUCUGAGGGCAGCAUGAAGAAGGGUUUCUGUGCUGGCGGUGUGCGAGCAGACAGUGGAGAGGUGAACAGUGGAAACGAGAGCUGAAGCACAAGGCCCCUCCGCCUCGUGUGAUCACUCUUGCUGCACAGAUGUGUCACUUCCAGACCCAAUGCAGCUCCUUUCAGGCUUUCCCAUAUGGUCUAAUAAAAACAGGAAAUUUCUGCAGCAUAGUCAUCUCCUGGAAUAGAUAUUUAGCUGGCAGUUUCACUCUCUCAUUUCUUUACAAGAGACGUAUUCUUAGUUCUUCUUUCAUUUCAGUUUCAGGAAAUUUCUUUAUUUCCUACUCUCUACCACCCUUGACUCGAUGAUGGCACGUUAUUGCCCUGCACGUCCACUGCAGAUAAACGUGAUGGGUCCCAUCCUGGACAAGGCUUGACUUCAUUUCCUAAAAUGUGUUUUAUACAGGCUGAUCACUGGAGUGAAGGAUAA
Odocoileus virginianus texanus is the source of this 742-nucleotide non-coding RNA. The record is from RefSeq and is a predicted model, not a curated record. Lineage: Eukaryota; Metazoa; Chordata; Mammalia; Artiodactyla; Cervidae.